This 424-nucleotide ribosomal RNA is filed under the name uncultured bacterium. Its description in RNAcentral is "bacterial SSU rRNA". It matches the Rfam family "Bacterial small subunit ribosomal RNA", at positions 359 to 774 of the family's 1533-position model. The record is from RNAcentral.
GAAUAUUGGACAAUGGGGGGAACCCUGAUCCAGCCAUGCCGCGUGUGUGAAGAAGGCCUUUUGGCUGUAAAGCACUUUAAGCGCGGAGGAGGCUACUUAGAUUAAUACUCUAGGAUAGUGGACGUUACUGGCAGAAUAAGCAACAGCUAACUCUGGGACAGCCGCCGCGGUAAUACAGAGGGUGCAAGCGUUAAUCGGAUUUACUGGGCGUAAAGCGCGCGUAGGUGGCCAAUUAAGUCAAAUGUGAAAUCCCCGAGCUUAACUUGGGAAUUGCAUUCGAUACUGGUUGGCUAGAGUAUGGGAGAGGAUGGUAGAAUUCCAGGUGUAGCGGUGAAAUGCGUAGAGAUCUGGAGGAAUACCGAUGGCGAAGGCAGCCAUCUGGCCUAAUACUGACACUGAGGUGCGAAAGCAUGGGGAGCAAACA